UGCCAGCAGCCGCGGUAAAACGUAGGGGGCCAGCGUUGCUCGGAAUUACUGGGCGUAAAGGGUCCGUAGGCGGUGUGGCAAGUCGGAAGUGAAAUCUCUGGGCUUAACCCAGAGGCUGCUUCCGAAACUGCCAUGCUAGAGUGUGAGAGAGGCGAGUGGAAUUACGGGUGUAGCGGUGAAAUGCGUAGAUAUCCGUAGGAACAUCCGAGGCGAAGGCGGCUCGCUGGAUCACAACUGACGCUGAGGGACGAAAGCUAGGGGAGCAAACAGGAUUAGAUACCCUAGUAGUCCUAGCCCUAAACCAUCAGGACUUGGGGUUUGCCCUGUACGGGGCAAGUCCCGUAGCUAACGCGUUAAGUCCUGCGCCUGGGGAGUACGGUCGCAAGACUAAACUCAAA
This 398-nucleotide ribosomal RNA is filed under the name uncultured bacterium. RNAcentral's name for it is "bacterial SSU rRNA". It matches the Rfam family "Bacterial small subunit ribosomal RNA", at positions 506 to 905 of the family's 1533-position model. The record is from RNAcentral.